AAGCAGUGCGUGACAUGCCCCGUGCCUUGCACUGCAACACCUCCACCCACCCCGAGGCCCUGAGUUUAUGGCACAGUACAGCACGUCACCCGAUUACCGCGAUUGCAUGUGCGCUGUCAUGCUCACCUCGCGCGCCUGCGCCUGCGCCAUCUCGUCCACCUCGGCAUGCGCCUCGGGGCUGUCGUUGAUGUCAGUGACCACGUCUGGGUGCUCGCCGGCUGCAUUGGACUUAACAGAGGUGGAGCCCACUGCCUCUGACUUCGCCGACUUGACGGAGGUGGAGCCCACUGCCUCCGACUUGGCCGACUUGACGGAGGUGGAGCCCACUGCCUCCGACUUGGCCGACUUGACGGAGGUGGAGCCCACUGCCUCCGACUUGGCCGACUUGACGGAGGUGGAGCCCACUGCCUCCGACUUGGCAGACUUGACCGAUGUGCUACCCUCCUCACCCGCCUUGUAGCCGCGCUCGCCGCCCUCGCCAUCCUCGCCACCCUCGCCGGCAGUGGCAGGUGCCGC
RNAcentral lists this long non-coding RNA (516 nucleotides) under Chlamydomonas reinhardtii. RNAcentral's name for it is "long non-coding RNA (CREI_LNC000895)". The record is from RNAcentral. Lineage: Eukaryota; Viridiplantae; Chlorophyta; Chlorophyceae; Chlamydomonadales; Chlamydomonadaceae.